UACGAAGGGGGCUAGCGUUGCUCGGAAUUACUGGGCGUAAAGCGCACGUAGGCGGAUUGUUAAGUCGGGGGUGAAAUCCUGGAGCUCAACUCCAGAACUGCCUUUGAUACUGGAGAGCUUGAGUCCGGGAGAGGUGAGUGGAACUCCGAGUGUAGAGGUGAAAUUCGUAGAUAUUCGCAAGAACACCAGUGGCGAAGGCGGCUCACUGGCCCGAUACUGACGCUGAGGUGCGAAAGCGUGGGGAGCAAACAGG
This 253-nucleotide ribosomal RNA is filed under the name uncultured bacterium. RNAcentral describes it as "partial 16S ribosomal RNA". It matches the Rfam family "Bacterial small subunit ribosomal RNA", at positions 524 to 776 of the family's 1533-position model. The record is from RNAcentral.